GGAGUCAUUUUUGGGCACUCUUGCUGAAGACUGUCGAAAUGGUGACACAGUGAGAAGGAAAUGUUACAUACCCAAACCCCAGAACAAGUGGUAUUUCCAUGAAUCUACUGGAGAAUACAAUGAAGAACCUGAAAUUCAUGGUAAUGUGGGAAAAAAACACAAGUUUUGUGCUUUGGAAUCAGACUCACCUGGGGCUGAUUCCCUGUUCUUCUGUUGGUUUUGAAGUUGGCCAAGAGAUUUAACCUUCUCUAGCCUCGUUCAUCUCAUCUCUUCACUUGAGUGUGUGUGUUUGAAAAUCAAAGAUGAUCCUAUGAAGUGUUUAAAAAAGUGUCCAACACAAAGUGGAUCUUCAGAGAGGAUAAGCGAGGUAAGGUUUCAGAUUAAAGAAGUAGAAAUGAAGAAUAAGUAAUUAACAGAUGACCAGAUCUCUUCCUUAGCUUCCCCUUCAGUAAUCUGGCAAACAAACUGUGUGAUAAAACUGGUGAACAAGAUAGCACCUAAAGAAAUGUCACAAGAAGACGACAAGCCUGCAUGCAGUGGGAGACAGGGACGAGUCUGAUCCCCUAACUCAAUGAUUAAUUGAAAUUACUUUCCUUUUACCUUUAAAAACUUUCAUGGUCGAGCAGAAUCUUCGGAGUUGAAUUUUGGGGACACCAAGUCCACCAUCUCUCCAGAUUGCUGGCAUUCUGAUUAAAAGAAACUUUCCUUUCUACCAACACUUGCCUCCCUCUUGGGUAUUGAUUUUCAAGUGGUGAGCAGCUGGACCUGAGUUCGGUAACACAAGAGAAAGACAACCCAGGAAUCAUUACUUCCAUUUUACAGAUGUAGGCACAGGCUGCUGAGUCUCUAUUAAAACAUUUUUGCCACCUGGUGCCAUGUGAUCUGGGGAAACACAUUUAAGCCUACAGAACCUUAGUUCUCUUAUCUUCUACUAUGGAAAUCAAAUAAUCUCUUAGAAUACUUCUAGGUUGAAGAUCCUAUUAUCUAUUUUAAUAGCUGUAAUUAACUGCUUCUUAAACAGUCUCCCAUGAUCCUGGCCUCCUGAUAUUCACAUUCUUCUAUAAUCUGCUUCCCUUGUGUGCGAGCUGGACUUAGUGACUCACUUCUAGCAAAUAGAAUACACCAAAGGCAAUAAGAUGCUGUUUCCGAGAUUAGGUUAUAACUACUGUGACUUCCCUCUUGCUUGUUCUCUCUCUUUGGCUCUUCUCAUGUACUUGUUAUAAUGAAGCAAGUUGCAGAGACCCACAUGGUGAAGACCUGGGGACAGCGUUUGGUCAAUAGCCAGUGAGAAACUGAGGCCUUCAGUGUGACAACCCGAAGAGAACUGAAUUCUGCCAAUGGUACUGUGAGUGAACAUGGAAGCAGAUUCUCCCCUGGGGUAACCUUCAGAUGACUGAGAUCCUGACUAACAACUUGCAGCCUUCUGAGAGACCCUGACCCAAACCCUUAGCUUCCAACUAAGCCACUCCUGAAUUUCUGACCCACACAGGAACUGUGAGAUGAUAAAUGUUGUUUUAAGUCUCUAAGUGUUGAAAUAAUUUGUUACACAGCAAUAGAUGAUUAAAGUCAAAUAUCAAUGCCAGAACUGAUCACAGGAUUUCUUUUCCCUGAAUUUUUGUUUCAGCAUUUUCUAACAUAUUCAUAACA
Long non-coding RNA from Balaenoptera acutorostrata (minke whale), 1647 nucleotides. RefSeq lists it as uncharacterized. The transcript has 3 exons. NCBI's taxonomy places the organism in Eukaryota, Metazoa, Chordata, Mammalia, Artiodactyla, Balaenopteridae. The record is from RefSeq and is a predicted model, not a curated record.